RNAcentral lists this ribosomal RNA (109 nucleotides) under uncultured Atheliaceae. RNAcentral's name for it is "5.8S ribosomal RNA". It matches the Rfam family "5.8S ribosomal RNA", at positions 1 to 108 of the family's 154-position model. Rfam says of the family: 5.8S ribosomal RNA (5.8S rRNA) is a component of the large subunit of the eukaryotic ribosome. It is transcribed by RNA polymerase I as part of the 45S precursor that also contains 18S and 28S rRNA. Lineage: Eukaryota; Fungi; Basidiomycota; Agaricomycetes; Atheliales; Atheliaceae. The record is from RNAcentral.
AACUUUCAACAACGGAUCUCUUGGCUCUCGCAUCGAAGAAGAACGCAGCGAAAUGCGAUAAGUAAUGUGAAUUGCAGAUUUUCAGUGAAUCAUCGAAUCUUUGAACGCA